AACAAAAAAGCUUUGCUAUUGAUGUAGUUCGCGACAAGCAACUGAUUCGUUGUUCCACUAUAAUGAAGUGUCAUAGGAAAAUCAAGACCAUCACUUACGGUCAAUAGUUCUCUAUGUCUUUUUCCAUCAGAGGAGAUAACUACAACGUUGUUCGAUAUGUGCCCCACCACGAACACAUUACCAUCAUUAUCUACAUCAAUGCCAUGAGGAGUAUUAAGAACGCUUUCGUUAUGGAAUGUCCAUUGUAGUUUACCUUGUAGGUUAUAACAUGUCACAGUGUUUUUUUGAUUGUUUGUAUGAUAUAUAUUGUCCCUAAAAGUUGCAGUGUAGCAAACACUGGUCAUUGCUUCUCGGACUAAGUCACUUAUAGACUCAUCGUUUAAAUCGAUCAUUCGUAUACCUUUGUCUCUCCCUGAAUAAAUCAACUGAUUUUCUUUCAGUGAUAUGCCAUAAAUGUCCGAAUCCACUGCAAUUGAUUUCAUCAUUUGUUUUGUCUCCAGGUUUAUUAUGGUAAUGGUACGUGGACUAUAUAGAUGAUACAGCCAAUGUAUUGUCUUCUCUAAUGUAUACUAUAUCAAACGCGUAACUCGGCAUCUUGAUCUCAAAGUCUGUUGAUCCUUUAUCACUGAAAACUUUUAAUUGUUUGGCAAAGUAGUAAGUAAAUACCAAUCUAUCAUCUGGAAGUAUGCAACAUCCGUGAACGUAGCACUUCCUUGAGUGUCGAUGGACUUGUGUAUCGUUAGCUUUAUAUUUUCUAUAGAUUUUGUUGGAACGAUUGGAAUCAUCAAUUGGGCUUGUCUGGCCUUCUUCUUGAUCAGAACUAUGUCGCAUGGAUUAGAUUCAAUACGCACUUCCCCAAAACUUCUGAUAUCGGAUAUGAUAUUCUGGAUAGAGGUGUUGAUCUGAUAUGAAAGAGUAUGCUGUUCCUUGCCUUUCUACAAGAGCCUGCAAUUCUUUUUCUUUGCUAUAGACGUCCUCUUCUAUUUGCUUAAUUGAGAGAAACAUUUGAAGAUCUGUUGCGUGUUUCUUGAUGUUCAAUAGGCUAUUUUGGCAUUCUCCUAUUUCUUUUCUUUCUUUUUUAGCGAGGACAUUAACUGACAUAUUUUAGAGUUUUCUUUUUCUUCGAGCUCGUUGAGUUGUUUCAUUAAAUCUUCUUGUAGUUUGUCGAGGUGGUUAUUGAUCUUCAUUCUAGUUUUCUUUACUUCUUUUUGGAUUUCCUUUCUCUUUUCUUUCAAAGUCACCUGAUUGCUCUGUUGAUGCUGACGAAUUGUCUUUAGAUUUUCUGCUACUUCAACUAAUGUUUCCUCUAUCUCGCUCAG
Molecule: long non-coding RNA, 1319 nt
Filed under: Mytilus galloprovincialis (Mediterranean mussel)
Lineage: Eukaryota; Metazoa; Mollusca; Bivalvia; Mytilida; Mytilidae
Source: RNAcentral